Non-coding RNA from Microcebus murinus (gray mouse lemur), 531 nucleotides. The record is from RefSeq and is a predicted model, not a curated record. NCBI's taxonomy places the organism in Eukaryota, Metazoa, Chordata, Mammalia, Primates, Cheirogaleidae.
GCCCCACGUGCAACGCCCCCACCAAUGGGCGCACCGCGCGCGCGGACCCGGAUCAGGAAACGCGCGGCAUCUACUUCGAUGGAGGUGGCGAUGUGAGAGCUAAGGAUGCCCGCGCUUACUGGGUGCGACUGUGGGAGAGAAGGUGCCUUGACGACAGGAAUGUACAGAAGCGACGCCUCCACAAAUCCGAGCUUCGAAACCAAUAACUUCCUAUUUCAGAACAAUCCCCAAACACAAACAAGCUAGGGAUAGAAUAAACACCUUGCCUGCCGGGGUCUGAUCACCGAAGGGGUUUUCCAGCUAAGAAUUUUAUGUUUCCUCUUUUGGAUGCUGCUUUCUCAGGCUGUAUGAGGCUAGAGUUACAUUUACAGGGCAGUCUAUAAUUUCUGAAUUGCUGAAAAUUAGCAUAUUAACGAUAUCAGUAGCUCCGGAAAGGAGGGAGAGGGGACUGUUGCCUGCCAUUUGGUAAUUGAAAUUUGAUGGGUAAGCUAAUUAUGCCAUUAUUAACAAAUAAAUUACUUAUCAAUUCUA